UCAGGAGAGAUUGGCAGCUGGGUCAAACAAAGUCAUUCCAUUGGCUCCCUUCCCAGUAAGCUUCUGCUAGUAUUUAGGUACUAGUGCAGCCUAGGCCCCUUUUCUCAGGGAUAGCCUAACAUCUGACCGCACCCUCUUUGCUUUUUAAAAAAUGCCUUUUCACUCUUUAAGAUAAAUCCUCUAUUAUACAAUCUGCCACUAAUUGUGUGUUAAGACUGUUUUUCUCUCGAAAGCUGAUGCAUCCUGCUCUCAACGUGGUCUAGAAAGUGGGCUGUUACAGUACUGGAUUAAUAAAAGGGGCCUUUAUGGUUUGUGAAAGAAUAUCUCUGUGCUUAGGCAGGAAACUUUUUGAUCCACAGAAAAGCCAGACGACAUCCUAGAGCAAGAGAGGCCAACUUGAGGAGCAUGCACACUGUGAUACCCUCAGUGUGGCAGAGAUGUGGAAGAGUGUUUUGGGGCUGUGCAUCAAGGGGCACGAAAAAGGAACUUCAUUGGAUGGCAAAGAUGGCAAAGAUCCUGCCCUGACCCAUAGAUGGAGGAGACAACCCACCAAAGGUUUCUUUUCCGAUGUGUUCUCCUCCAGCCAGUGAAUUUUGUUUCACAGACCAGUGAAAGAAAAAUUAAAAUGAAAAAGGAAAAUGAAGAAGUUAAUGAUACCAGAUUUCAGCGAAGGUAAUAUAAUGAUCUUAAAUAACUUUUUUCUUUUUUUUUUUUGGUUAUACAGUAAAGCUAUU
This 734-nucleotide long non-coding RNA is filed under the name Junco hyemalis (dark-eyed junco). RNAcentral's name for it is "lncRNA (ENSJHYG00000007112.1)". Lineage: Eukaryota; Metazoa; Chordata; Aves; Passeriformes; Passerellidae. The record is from RNAcentral.